RNAcentral lists this ribosomal RNA (492 nucleotides) under uncultured bacterium. RNAcentral describes it as "partial 16S ribosomal RNA". It matches the Rfam family "Bacterial small subunit ribosomal RNA", at positions 29 to 507 of the family's 1533-position model. The record is from RNAcentral.
AGUGAACGCUGGCGGUAGGCCUAACACAUGCAAGUCGAACGGCAGCACAGUAAGAGCUUGCUCUUACGGGUGUCGAGUGGCGGACGGGUGAGGAAUACAUCGGAAUCUACUUUUUCGUGGGGGAUAACGUAGGGAAACUUACGCUAAUACCGCAUACGACCUACGGGUGAAAGCAGGGGAUCUUCGGACCUUGCGCGAUUGAAUGAGCCGAUGUCGGAUUAGCUAGUUGGCGGGGUAAAGGCCCACCAAGGCGACGAUCCGUAGCUGGUCUGAGAGGAUGAUCAGCCAGACUGGAACUGAGACACGGUCCAGACUCCUACGGGAGGCAGCAGUGGGGAAUAUUGGACGAUGGGGGCAAGCCUGAUCCAGCCAUACCGCGUGGGUGAAGAAGGCCUUCGGGUUGUAAAGCCCUUUUGUUGGGAAAGAAAAGCAGCAGGUUAAUACCCCGCUGUUCUGACGGUACCCAAAGAAUAAGCACCGGCUAACUUCGUG